AGUGAACGCUGGCGGUAGGCCUAACACAUGCAAGUCGAACGGCAGCACAGUAAGAGCUUGCUCUUACGGGUGGCGAGUGGCGGACGGGUGAGGAAUACAUCGGAAUCUACUUUUUCGUGGGGGAUAACGUAGGGAAACUUACGCUAAUACCGCAUACGACCUACGGUUGAAAGCAGGGGAUCUUCGGACCUUGCGCGAUUGAAUGAGCCGAUGUCGGAUUAGCUAGUUGGAGGGGUAAAGGCCCACCAAGGCGACGAUCCGUAGCUGGUCUGGGAGGAUGAUCAGCCACACUGGAACGGAGACACGGUCCAGACUCCUACGGGAGGCAGCAGUGGGGAAUAUUGGACAAUGGGCGCAAGCCUGAUCCAGCCAUACCGCGUGGGUGAAGAAGGCCUUCGGGUUGUAAAGUCCUUUUGUUGGGAAAGAAAAGCAGCAGGUUAAUACCCCGCUGUUCUGACGGUACCCAAAGAAUAAGCACCGGCUAACUUCGUG
RNAcentral lists this ribosomal RNA (492 nucleotides) under uncultured bacterium. RNAcentral's name for it is "partial 16S ribosomal RNA". It matches the Rfam family "Bacterial small subunit ribosomal RNA", at positions 29 to 507 of the family's 1533-position model. The record is from RNAcentral.